RNAcentral lists this long non-coding RNA (257 nucleotides) under Vigna radiata. Its description in RNAcentral is "long non-coding RNA (VRAD_LNC010485)". The record is from RNAcentral. Lineage: Eukaryota; Viridiplantae; Streptophyta; Magnoliopsida; Fabales; Fabaceae.
UGGGAAUUGUGAUAUUUACAUAAAUGCCUUACAAGUUUUGCUAAUUUGUGUUCACCUUAUUGAUAUGCUUUCUGUUUUAUUUCAUUGGCCUUACCUUCAAGAAGAAUAGCACAACUUUAUGAUGAGAUUGUAACAAGGUGUAGGGAUAAGUACCUGAAUCUGCAGAUUCGUCAAUGCUAUAUUUAUGUACCUGUACCAUUUCAAUUCUUAUUAUAGAUUCAUUACCUUCACCUUUUUUACCUAUAGAAAUAUCACUU